Non-coding RNA from Camelina sativa (false flax), 1202 nucleotides. NCBI's taxonomy places the organism in Eukaryota, Viridiplantae, Streptophyta, Magnoliopsida, Brassicales, Brassicaceae. The record is from RefSeq and is a predicted model, not a curated record.
CUUGUCGCUGGAAGGUGUGGCUUAUGUCUUCUCAUACUAUUUGACAGAAUGGAGUUUUCUUGUUCGUCGAUCCUUCUAACUGCACAUAUUGAAACAAUAGAUUUACUUAGUAAUGGACAGGAGAUGAGUAAGAUUGGUUUACUUUCACGGGUGUGAGAUUUUCACAAUGUUCGAUUACAGACGGUACCGUCCCUGCAAAUGUAGGUAGUCCUCUCUCAAGCGUAGUAGUGGCAGGAGUAUGUAGGAAGCAAAUGUCCUCAUCUACAAUGGCAGAAUAUUACACGACAAAGUAAAUUGUGUGAAAGAAUAAUGGCUUUACAGGUAAUAGAAAUUCUACAUGGAUUCUGACCGUAAUCUUCGCCAACAUAAAAAAGGAAUAAAAAUGAAAUUAAAGGGGUGAACUAAGUACGGAUUCGACUUUGGAGGUUGCCGGAAAGGACAGAAACAAAUGGGGAAAGAGUUAAAUACGGAUCAUCAGACACAGAGUCCAUCCUACUGACAAUGGUUUGAGUGAUGAAAGACAUCUUGUAACGAUGGGCAGUAGGCUUGAAUUGACCAGUGGCGAUACUCAAACCAAAGUUCUCGACAAUUCUCCAUUGCCCGGUCACGAUCUUGUUUUCAAAACGACUGAUCAAGUCUUUCUUGAUAGAAGCGUGAAUCUUCGUCCCCUGGUAAAAGAAGUUAUAAGGUACAUUGUAGUUGCAUUAUAAAACAUAAAAUUAAAGGUGAAUGAUGGGAGACACCAGUAUUUAAACUUACUUGGACAUCUGAGAGCACCAUAUCGAAAGUUUCACCAAACCUUGUUGAGUAGGUCUUCCAUGAAUGAAGGACCUUGACUUGGACCUUCCAAGAAGUCUUGUAAGGCUUAACGUCACGAAGGUAAGCGUAAGUUGUAGCCAUUGUUUGUUGCUUGUUGAAUUUUGCUUGAGAAAUGAUUUUUGCUUGAUGAGUUAUGAAUGUGUUUGAUGUUGGAUUAUUUAUAGUGGUCGAGUAUCCUAGGGUAUCGUAUAGGAUUUGUAACAAAGAGGCGUUCAUGAUUACAAGAUUUUUGGUUAUGAUUAGGAUUAUAUUAUAUAUAUGAUAGAAUUUGCUUUCAAUGUUGAUUGAUUGUCAAGAUUAUGUAGAGAGAUUUGAGGGCGGGAUUGAUUGAGAAGAUAUUGUUUGAAUAGUUACCAAAAAAAAUACCAAGGAAUAUUCUUAAG